Non-coding RNA from Schizosaccharomyces pombe (fission yeast), 740 nucleotides. NCBI's taxonomy places the organism in Eukaryota, Fungi, Ascomycota, Schizosaccharomycetes, Schizosaccharomycetales, Schizosaccharomycetaceae. The record is from the annotation of a GenBank genome assembly.
UUGGGUUGUGAAGGUAAUCCGAUAUAAGCAGGUGAAUCAUUUUUUGUUGGGGUUCCAGGUUCUGUUUCGGAAAGUAAAAUCGGAUGCCUUAAAGGAGAUGUUAUGUAUCCAGAAUUUGGGGAAGUUUUUUUAGGACUCAAUUUGUUAGCAUCAAUGGACAUAAGAGAGAUGCCUCGUCUUUUUGGAGAUAGAGAGUUGACGCUAGAGUAGGAUAUAUCUUGAUUGUUCCCCGUAGACGAUUGUUCUUCUCCUUCGAACCACUGCUCAAAGCAGGUGCUCAUAGGAGUGCUGAUGACUUGCUUAACUUGGUCUGAUACUUUGCUUUCAUGACCAGUAUCCUCGUUUAGUAGUUUUUUAUGCAAGAAUUCAUCGUAAGAUGGUAUGAAGCUGUCAAUAGAUAAAUCUAUUGAGCCAUUAGAUUCAUUAUUAAGCUCGCAAAGCGCUUCGUCUAAUUUAGAGAUUCGCGAUGCUUUCUGAAGCAAGAUUUCUCGUUGGUCGUCUAUUACUUUUGUGGGCGUAGAGGAACGCAACGGAUACUCCAUUUCCAUAUCUUCAUCAUCUGUAUUUUAUUUUAUUAACUUAUUAAUCUUCCAUUAAAAACACACGGCAUUACAUACCAACUGAAAUUGUAAAGUCAUUACCCAAUUGCUCAGCAAAUAUUUUUGUAUUUUUGUUAGCAGAAUCCAUUUAUAUAAUAAAGAAAAAAGGUUGAACAAGUGUCAUAAGGAUUUGACAAAAAA